Non-coding RNA from Heterocephalus glaber (naked mole-rat), 2312 nucleotides. The record is from RefSeq and is a predicted model, not a curated record. NCBI's taxonomy places the organism in Eukaryota, Metazoa, Chordata, Mammalia, Rodentia, Bathyergidae.
CUUCCCGUCGGGGCCCAUGGUCAUUUGCACCUCUGGUCCGCUCGGCUGCUCUGUCCCCUGAGAGGCCCAGGAGGUUGGGCUGCGGUAACUCUGCCCACCCGGCAUUACGGAGAUCCUAGGUGGAACAGAGACCGGCUCAGAUGUCUGGAGCGUUGAAACGCGUGUGUGCUUCCUUCCAGGAUGGCCCCCGCUUAGUUGUUCAAAUAUGGGCGAAUAGUAGUGAACCCUGCCAUCCGGAUUGGCUCAUAAGAAUUUUAAAAUUUUGAUUAGUCCGCGUUUACAGUACGUAAUGAACACAUUUGUCAUAGGGAGUUGGCACGUGUUUAUAACACAUCUUGAUUAUUUGUACCUCCCCUCUGCAUCUCAUGAAUAUUGAGUCUAAAGCUUUCUGCUCCUGAGACUUUUGCCUUUCCCCAAGGAAUAAAAGAGGUCACAUGAUGACAGCUGUGCCCUUAACAUCCAGAUCCCAGGUGGGGCAAGGUAGGACGUCAUUGGCCGAUCAGAGAUCUGGGUGCCUGCAUAGGGCAAGCCAGCAAGAAUGAAGGACUGGCAUGAAUGCAGCGCUGGUAAAUGGCAGGAGUAUGAGUCACCCAGAUGACUACUGGAAUAUAUAGAGUGGACGAGGCUUGGGACUAAGGUGCUGGCCGUUUCCUUCCACAUAAUUACCUUCAUGUGCAGAUCCAAGCCCAGCUGCCACAUAGCAGGUUCAGCUCUCUGUGUGGAGAUAUACUUGGUUCUCACUGGGAAAGUGUGCUGAGCUCCGGCUUGCUGCCUCACAUUCUGCAUCCUUUUCUGCCACACCUUCCACAUUUCACACAAAACUGGUGUUAUUGUAAGAGUCCUUCCCUGGCCUCUCAGUGAUGGUUUUGACCAUCAUCAUACCUUGAAGUUUGAGAGUGUAGAAGUUAUUGUUUCAGGACUCAGAGACUUUUGAGGACAUGGCAGUGCAAGUCACCUAGAAGGAAUGGGCCAGCUUGAAGUCCACCAGGAAGGCCUUGUACACGGAAGUGAUGAUGGAGAACUGCAGGGCCAUGGCUUCCCUGGGUAAGGCCUCUCUGCUACCCAUCUCUGCCUGGGCCCUCAGAGAUGGAAGGACUCCUUUGUUUACCAGAUGACCUCAAAUGGCAGUGUCAGAGGUUGGCAGCAGCAGCAUCUGUUGAGAGACCAGCUCUGAACUUUCAGCUGGAGCAAGAGAGGGAAGCCCUAAUCAGGGGCGGCUGGGAUCCAGGCCUUGCAGAUUACAUCUUAAAACUAAGAAGAUAUACUUACCUAGCUUACAGAUACUUUAUCCAAUAAGAUAUAAAGAUUUCUGGAAAUCCUCAGUGCUGGGAAGACAGGACACAAGCUUAAUUCUUGACUUUUACCAGUUUUCAAUUGCAUGUUCAUUAAAGUUGCUCAUUUUGAUGUACAGAGCAGGCUCCCUUGUCCUUUUUUACACGGCUUUAUAGAGAUAUAAUUCACAAACCAUAUAUUCCAGUCAUUUAACAAUUCGGUGACAUUUAGUAUAUAUUCAUAAGAGUUGUACAAAAAUCACCACAAUCUACUUUUAACUUUUUCUAUCAGCCCUCACUAAAAAAUGCUGUAUCCAGUAGCAGUCACUCUACUUUGCCCUGCUGACCUCUCAGUUUCGGGCAGCAGCUUAGCCUAGUUGUGUGUCUAGAUUUGCCUGUUGGAUAAUAUGUGCUCUUUGCAACCGGCUUUUCACUACCAUGUUUUCAGGAUUCAUCCAUUUUGUAACUUGCAUCCAUACCAUUCCUUUUUAUAUGUGUGUAGUAUCUGUUGGAUGGAUUGUAUCACAUUUCGUGUUUCUGUUCAUAGUGGGUAUUUGGGUUCCACUGUUUUGGCAGUAUGGAUUAUGCUGCUGUGAACAUGAGUGUAUGAGGCUUAAUGGAGACUUGCUUUCAGUCUUCAUGGGUAUGUAUACUAGCUGUACAUUUGCUGGGUAAUUUAGUAACUCUUGGCUGAACUAUUUAAGGAAUGCCAUAAUUUUUUCCCUGAAGUAGCUAAAUCAUUUUAUUUUCCCCUGGCAGUGUAUGAGGUUUGCAAAUUCACCACAUCCUCACUACUUAUUACUGUCCAUCUUUUUUAUUAUAGUUAUGCUAGUGAUAUAAAGUGGCAUCUCAUGGUUUUGAUUUGCAUUUUCCUACUGGCUAAUGAUUUUGUGCAUCUUUUCAUGUGCUAUUGACCAUUGGUAUAUAAUCUUUGCAGAAAUGUCUGUUUAAAUCCCUUGCCCAUUCUUAAUUGGUUCAUCUUUUUAUUUUUGCAUUGUAAGAGUUCUAGGCUGAAUCCUUAUCAAAUAUAUCACUUGUAAA